UCAAAAACCUCUGCUAUUGUGUACAUAGUUUAUACUAAGUGACCCAUAGGUUGAGGAGGCGGUGACCGUGGCGGUGUAAGUGGAAGCGGCGGUGGAGAAAGAGGAGAUAGCCAACACUGUUUAAAUAUGCUAUUGACUGCACCUACCAUGGUGACCACGGGUAACGGGGAAUCAGGGUUCGAUUCCGUACAGGGACCCUAAGAAAUGGCUACCACAUGCAAGGAAGGCAGCAGGCGCGCAAAUAACCCACUCCCGACGCGGGAAGGUAGUGACGA
This is a non-coding RNA of Pelobates cultripes (western spadefoot toad), 275 nucleotides long. The record is from the annotation of a GenBank genome assembly. Lineage: Eukaryota; Metazoa; Chordata; Amphibia; Anura; Pelobatidae.